This 463-nucleotide ribosomal RNA is filed under the name uncultured bacterium. RNAcentral describes it as "partial 16S ribosomal RNA". It matches the Rfam family "Bacterial small subunit ribosomal RNA", at positions 28 to 507 of the family's 1533-position model. The record is from RNAcentral.
GAUGAACGCUGACAGAAUGCUUAACACAUGCAAGUCUUUGGCGAAUCUGUGCUUGCACAGGCUAGCCAAGGCGGACGGGUGAGUAACGCGUAAAGAACUUGCCCUGCAGACAGGGAUAACAGACGGAAACGACUGAUAACACCUGAUACAGUUGCCGGCACGCAUGUGCCUGGCAAUGAAAAGAGAUGCUGCAGGAGAGCUUUGCGUCCUAUUAGCUUGUUGGUGAGGUGACGGCUCACCAAGGCGAUGAUAGGUAGCCGGCCUGAGAGGGUGAACGGCCACAAGGGGACUGAGAUACGGCCCUUACUCCUACGGGAGGCAGCAGUGGGGAAUAUUGGACAAUGGGGGCAACCCUGAUCCAGCAAUUCUGUGUGCACGAAGAAGGUUUUCGGAUUGUAAAGUGCUUUCAGCAGGGAAGAAGAAAGUGACGGUACCUGCAGAAGAAGCGAUGGCUAAAUACGUG